Long non-coding RNA from Meriones unguiculatus (Mongolian gerbil), 1393 nucleotides. RefSeq lists it as uncharacterized. Lineage: Eukaryota; Metazoa; Chordata; Mammalia; Rodentia; Muridae. The record is from RefSeq and is a predicted model, not a curated record. The transcript is spliced from 4 exons.
UCUUUUCCAUGCUUCAGCCAGGGUGACCUUUUAAAUAUACAUGAUCCUGUCGCCUCUAAUUAAACCCUUACAUGAUUUAUGGCUCUGGGUGCACUCUGCUGCCUUCUCUUCCACUGCACUUAGUUCCACACUCCUCAGCACUAUCUGCUCCAGCCACGCCAGCCUGCCUUUGGCUCAUUCAUUCCACGGUCCCUUUGCCCUGAUUCGUCACUCUGCCUUAAACAUUACAUUCUAUAGCGUGCUUCUGCCCAUCUUUCAUAACUAGCCCUGUGGCCCCUUAACUAAUCAACAGGUCCUGCUCUGACCUCUCAUAGCACUAUAGAUCAGUCCUCAGUAACAUUGAUUAUAACCCCAAAUUAUCCAUGUUUGAUCAUUUAGUUAAUCCAGCCCUCCUGGCCGCCAUUGGGAUGUAGGCCUUUUGGAGACCAGGACUACAUCAGAUGCGGCCCAUCCAACAUCCCAACACCAGCGGAGCAUCUCGGGACAUCUCGGCAGUGCUGAGUGGAUGAGUAACAGCUGCUUUUCCUCCCCUCGAGCCUUCUGGUCUACCCGCCAGCGCUAGGCUGUGGCCGAACAGACUACGUGCCUCCCCUGGAGUCCUCACUUCGUCAGUGAGUUCUUGCCGUCCCUGCCCACAGAGUUUAAAAUCACUGCCAGUCGACAAAAGACGCAACCCCUUAGCCUUGGUGUCUUCAUCUAUGGACAGAGCUUCAGAGAAAAGAAAAUGAGAUCGUGCUUGCAAAGUCCCUGAUAUGGAACCAUGUAAGACAUGGUAGGACAUCUGUGCUUUCUCGCGGAGCAGAGCGAUGACAAGAUGUUAAAAGCAAUGGCUGGGAUCAAUCUUCACUCAGAAAGACAAACAGGAUGGACAUUGGAGGAAGGAGAGAACAGGAAGCAGGAUGGAAACCUACCACAGAGAGUCUCUGAAAGACUCUACCCAGCAGUGUGUCAAAGCAGAUGCUGAGACUCAUAGCCAAACUUUGGGCAGAGCGCAGUGAAUCUUAGGAAAGAAGAGGGAGAUAGCAAGACCUGGAGGGGACAGGAGCUCCACAAGGAGAGCAACAGAAUCAAAAUAUCUGGGCACAGGGGUCUUUUCUGAAACUGAUACACCAACCAAAGACCAGUCAUAGAUAUUGCCUAGAACUUCUGCACAGAUGUAGCCCAUGGCAGCUCAGUGUCCAAGUGGGUUCCCUAGUAAGGGGAACAGGGACUGUCUCUGACAUGAACUCAGUUGCUGGCUCUUUGACCAACUUCCCCCUGAGGGAGGAGCAGCCUUGCCAGGCCACAGAGAAGGACAAUGCAGUCAGUCCUGAGACCUGAUAGGCUAGGGUCAGACGGAAAGGGAGGAGGACUUCCCCUAUCAGUGGACUUGGAGAGGGGCAUGGGAGGAGAU